RNAcentral lists this Y RNA (101 nucleotides) under Propithecus coquereli (Coquerel's sifaka). RNAcentral's name for it is "Y RNA (ENSPCOG00000005190.1)". It matches the Rfam family "Y RNA". Rfam says of the family: Y RNAs are components of the Ro ribonucleoprotein particle (Ro RNP), in association with Ro60 and La proteins. The Y RNAs and Ro60 and La proteins are well conserved, but the function of the Ro RNP is not known. Lineage: Eukaryota; Metazoa; Chordata; Mammalia; Primates; Indriidae. The record is from Rfam by way of RNAcentral.
GGCUGGUCCAAGUGCAUGGUGUUUACAACUCAUUGAUCACAACUGGUUACAGAUGUCUUUGUUCCUUCUCCACUCCCACUGCUUUAUUUGACUAGCCUUAC